Molecule: ribosomal RNA, 447 nt
Filed under: uncultured bacterium
Lineage: Bacteria
Description: bacterial SSU rRNA
Rfam family: Bacterial small subunit ribosomal RNA
Source: RNAcentral
UGGGGAAUCUUGGACAAUGGGCGCAAGCCUGAUCCAGCCAUGCCGCGUGAGUGAAGAAGGCCUUCGGGUUGUAAAGCUCUUUUGUCAGGGACGAUAAUGACGGUACCUGAAGAAUAAGCCCCGGCAAACUUCGUGCCAGCAGCCGCGGUAAUACGAAGGGGGCUAGCGUUGUUCGGAAUUACUGGGCGUAAAGCGCACGUAGGCUGAUUGUUAAGUCAGGGGUGAAAUCCCAGAGCUCAACUCUGGAACUGCCCUUGAUACUGGCAAUCUCGAGUCCGGAAGAGGUUAGUGGAAUUCCCAGUGUAGAGGUGAAAUUCGUAGAUAUUGGGAAGAACACCAGUGGCGAAGGCGGCUAACUGGUCCGGUACUGACGCUGAGGUGCGAAAGCGUGGGGAGCAAACAGGAUUAGAUACCCGAGUAGUCCCUGAGCGGGCUGGCAAGGCGCAU